RNAcentral lists this unclassified non-coding RNA (399 nucleotides) under soil metagenome. Its description in RNAcentral is "partial contains 5.8S ribosomal RNA, internal transcribed spacer 2, and large subunit ribosomal RNA". The stretch from base 1 to 120 matches the Rfam family "5.8S ribosomal RNA", at positions 35 to 154 of the family's 154-position model. The record is from RNAcentral.
GAUGAAGAACGUAGCGAAAUGCGAUACUUGGUGUGAAUUGCAGAAUCCCGUGAACCAUCGAGUCUUUGAACGCAAGUUGCGCCCGAAGCCUCGGCUAAGGGCACGUCUGCCUGGGCGUCACGCAUCGCGUCUCCCCCAAACCGCCAAGGCGGAGGGGAAGGAAGAUGGCUUCCCGUGCCUCACCCGGCGCGGUUGGCCUAAAUUUGGAGCCCGCGGCACUUAGCUCUCGCGGCGAUAGGUGGUGAACAAGGCCUUGGCCGUGCAAACAACCCGCUGCGAAGCUCUAUGACACGUGCGCUCGUCGGACCCUUUGAAGUUGCCUUCGGUGACUUAAAACCUUUGCGACCCCAGGUCAGGCGGGGCUACCCGCUGAAUUUAAGCAUAUCAAUAAGCGGAGGA